This 64-nucleotide transfer RNA is filed under the name Tetrix japonica. RNAcentral describes it as "tRNA-Ile". The record is from RNAcentral. Lineage: Eukaryota; Metazoa; Arthropoda; Insecta; Orthoptera; Tetrigidae.
AAUGUGGAGCCUGAAUUUAAAGGGUUAUUUGGAUGUGAUAAAUUUGUAAACUUUACCUACAUUA